CCUACGGGCGGCUGCAGUGGGGAAUAUUGGACAAUGGGCGAAAGCCUGAUCCAGCCAUGCCGCGUGUGUGAAGAAGGCCUUCGGGUUGUAAAGCACUUUCAGUGGGGAAGAAAGCCUUGGGGCUAAUACCCUCGAGGAAGGACAUCACCCACAGAAGAAGCACCGGCUAACUCCGUGCCAGCAGCCGCGGUAAUACGGAGGGUGCGAGUGUUAAUCGGAAUUACUGGGCGUAAAGCGCGCGUAGGCGGUCUGAUAAGCCGGUUGUGAAAGCCCCGGGCUCAACCUGGGAACGGCAUCCGGAACUGUCAGGCUAGAGUGCAGGAGAGGAAGGUAGAAUUCCCGGUGUAGCGGUGAAAUGCGUAGAGAUCGGGAGGAAUACCAGUGGCGAAGGCGGCCUUCUGGACUGACACUGACGCUGAGGUGCGAAAGCGUGGGUAGCAAACAGGAUUAGAUACCCCUGUAGUC
RNAcentral lists this ribosomal RNA (465 nucleotides) under Vreelandella stevensii. RNAcentral describes it as "partial 16S ribosomal RNA". It matches the Rfam family "Bacterial small subunit ribosomal RNA", at positions 338 to 795 of the family's 1533-position model. The record is from RNAcentral. Lineage: Bacteria; Pseudomonadati; Pseudomonadota; Gammaproteobacteria; Oceanospirillales; Halomonadaceae.